Molecule: transfer RNA, 70 nt
Filed under: Numenius madagascariensis (Far Eastern curlew)
Lineage: Eukaryota; Metazoa; Chordata; Aves; Charadriiformes; Scolopacidae
Description: tRNA-Asp
Rfam family: tRNA
About the family: Transfer RNA (tRNA) molecules are approximately 80 nucleotides in length. Their secondary structure includes four short double-helical elements and three loops (D, anti-codon, and T loops).
Source: RNAcentral
GAGACGUUAGUAAACCAUAUUACAUAGCCUUGUCAAGUCUAAAUCACAGGUGAAAAUCCUGUACGUCUCA